Molecule: small RNA, 29 nt
Filed under: Bombyx mori (domestic silkworm)
Lineage: Eukaryota; Metazoa; Arthropoda; Insecta; Lepidoptera; Bombycidae
Description: ovarian small RNA-18001
Source: RNAcentral
UAAAAACCACACCAAUAAUAUCUAUGCAA